GCUGGGCAUGGUGGUGCAUGCCUGUUGUCCCAGCUACUUGGGAGGCUGAGGUGGGGGAAUUGCUUGAGCCCAGGAGGUUGAGGCUGCAGUAAGCCAUGAUCAUGCUAGUACACCCUAGCCUGGGCAACAGAGUCAGACCCUGUCUCAA
Molecule: non-coding RNA, 148 nt
Organism: Nomascus leucogenys (northern white-cheeked gibbon)
Lineage: Eukaryota; Metazoa; Chordata; Mammalia; Primates; Hylobatidae
Rfam family: Metazoan signal recognition particle RNA
About the family: The signal recognition particle (SRP) is a universally conserved ribonucleoprotein. It is involved in the co-translational targeting of proteins to membranes.
Source: Rfam